GAUUUGAUUAAAAUUAAGUCUGGACUGUGGAGAUCAGCAGGGACAAAGACUACAUGUAUAUGAGGCCAUCAUUAACUUCUGAGGUUAUGUUUACAAGUUAAAUUCUAAAAAGUAAGCCCGAUCUGGGUUGAUCGGCGAGAAAAGUGUAGCAUCUUGUCUGUUUCAAGAGAAGUAUUUCCAGAUUCCAUAUCAACUCAAAGGGAAGAAUAAAUGCUUGGGUGUAAUCUCAGCCUGAGAAAGCUUAGUUCGAUUUUGGCGAUCGGCGAGGAUAAUGUGACGUUGCAGAGUUGUGUCAAGAGCUUUCAGUUGUUAAAUAAAAGACAAUCUUCCCCCAUCAAGAGGGACUCCUGGAUUUGAUUACAAUUAAGUCUGGAGAUCAGCACUAGGUAACAUGUCAAAAGCAAUAGGUAACUUUCAUCUGAAAAGGAAGUCCAAUCUGGGUCGAUCAGAAAAAAUAAUAUAGCAUUACAUCAUCUUUAACUUCCAUAGUACUAGUGUCCAUGUGUUAAAGUUUGGAAAGUAAGUCCGAAUUGGGUUGAUUUGUGAGAAAGCUGAAAUAUUAGGCCAACUUCAAGAGUAUUAGUCGCAGAUUUUGUUAACUGAAUUUUGAAGAGUAAGCCCGACCAUGGCGGAUCUGCUUGAGAAUGUAAAACACAUCAUUUUCAAGAGUAAUUGAAAGGUAGUCCGAUCUCAGUCAAUCGGUGAGAAGAGUGUAGCAUCUCGUCAAUAUCAAGAGAAUUAUACUUUCAGAUUCCAUACCAACUUGGCAGUGGCAAUGGCAAAUUGGCAGGAGGACAUAAAACACGUCAUUUUCAAGAGUAGAUUCAAGUGACUUAAGCUUGGAAAGUAAGUCUGAUCUCAGUCGAUUAGUGAGAAGAGUGUAGCAUCUUGUCAAUUUCAAGAGAAAUGUUACAUAUCAACUUAAAGGGAAUAAUUUAUGUUUACCGAUCUGGGUCUAUCGGCGCGGACAACACGACAGUUCAGAGUAGUGUUUACAGUUUGUUACAUUUUUUAAAAGCAAGCCACUCCACCCCAAUCAGCAGGGCCCUUUGCUUUAUUGAAAUUAAAUAUGAUCUGGAUCGAUCAACAUAGACAAUGUGACACUUCAAGAGCAUUUUUGUGAAUUUAGGUAACUUGAAAUCUAAAAGUAAGUCUGAUCUGGGUCGAUGUACAAAGACAAUAAGGCAUUAUGUCAUCUUCAACUUCAAGAGUAAUGUCUUUAUAUUGAAUUUUGAAAAGUAAAUCAAAUCUGGGCUGACCGCCAAGAAAAAUGUAGCAUCAUGUCAACUUUAAGACUUAUAUUCGUAGAUUUCAUUUACUUUAACUUGUACUCGCCUCUUUGAAGUUGCCAUUUCAAAAUCCAAAUUUCAGUCAUCGCUGCAGGGACGCUUAAUAGCUUUGAUUUAAAAUUGAGACCGACCUUGAUCGAUCAGCAAGACAGUGCAGCAUAAAGUCAACUUCAAAAUUAAUGUCCACAGAUUUAAUGUAAGUUACAAAAAAUAAGCCCAAUCUAAGUCAAUCAGCAAGGGCAGUCACACAGUAUCACGUCAAUGUCAUUAGUUGUUGUAUAGUUUUACUUGCAUUUAUAAAGGUAAAUGUUUAGAGAAUGCUAAAUUUUAGGCUACUUUGCCUCAGAAAAUACAGUGGCUAACUUAGCCUUUGAAAAUAAUUGGGUGGCUACUUCGCCUUAGAAAGUAAAUAAAAAAAAUUGAAGUCUCUCUCUCUGUGUUUUUCUUUAUGCAGCUUUCUUCUUUCCCAAACUAAAGUAAACAAAUUUUUAUAUCAAGAGGAAAAUAAAUAGACCACCUUGGUAACAAAUAAAAUAAGAUAUGAAACAAAAUGCCUCCGCUGUAGCUCACCAGAAAAUAUUAGCUGUAUGCUACUGCCAUACAACCCAAUUCAGCACGACGACAAACGCGAAGGAUAAAAAUUAACAACCGGAAUCACCCAGAAGGAAGCACAGGCGGCGGAGUAGUGAAACGACCGCUGUGAUCAUCAGCAAUGCAGGAAAGAAUGAAAAAGAGACAUAUGGCAAUGGGGGGGCUAUUUAAAGAGAAAUGGGAUGCGCCUCAUCACCACUCGCGUUACGUAAUAAACGAAAAAGGCAAUGAAAGAAAUUCGACUCGGGGCUACUACAAAUGCAAUCCAAACCGAUCAGCAAGGACACUUAAACAAGUCUUGGAUCCUUACCUUGAAUUUAAACAGUUGGACCAAUAUGGGUCAUCUGGCAGAUGGUAAGUUGAAUUGCCAUGGAGUCAUUUUUCAAAUUGUUAUUGACCAUGCUAGUCUGAUCUUUCACCCUCCACAGAUCCUGUUAUUUUUCUGAUUUUUUGUGAGUUUUUAGGCUCAAUAUUGAGCAGCUGGGGGCAUGGGGGCAUGCAAAAUGGCAAUGGUUCCCCCCCCCCCGUUCUGUCACUGGUGAUCAUCCUAACUUCUAGGUAAGCUUAAAUCAAUAAAAUGGGAAUAAUGUUUACUCUAAUGAGUGACCUAGCUUGGCUAGGCCCAGUAUUUUUAUAUCCCCAUUCACUAAGCUAAGCCAUCAGACUGCAACUUGGAGCAAACAUGCAGCUAAAAGGAUGAGGGUGUACAAGCCCAGUGGAGGCUGAUUGGACAAGGAAGAGACUGCUUCCCAAGGGUGAAGAUGGACCUUAAGAUCACGCAGAUGAAACUGGAGCCAGAGACUGUUUCACUAGAACCAGCGUGGAUCCCUGGGCUGUUUCUGAUGAAUCCAAGGAACUGGAAGUAGGGAGGAGGACCAACGGUUGAGCUGAUGAUCUAUUUGCUGUGCUUGCCAUUUUUUUUUCCAGAUGAGGACUGCAAACCUGGACAAGGUUGGCUGGAUGAAGAAGAGGCUACUCUCUUUGCUUGAUGAAAUGACAUCCCUACCCUUCAAAUGAACCAGUAGCAUGUAGGACCUACAGAUGAACUGAUGACCCUGCUUGCUGUACUUGUCAGUGCUUAUUUUGCAAAGACUGCAGAUUUGGGGAAAGUUGAUUCAAUGGAGGAUAGCAGGCUACUUUUUGUGUCUGCAACUCAACCAAUGAAACAGAAUUAAGGAACUGGAAGGAGGGAUGCUGAACGCUGAACGAUAGAUGGCUGAUGACCCAGAUUGCAUUGCAAGUACCGUACAUACUCCAUGGGUGUAGGCCCCCAUUGAUAUUAUAAAGGAAUGACUGGUGGGGAUGAGAUUGACAGUGAGGAAGAAAAGAUGACUCCCAAACCGUCAUUUUUUUCUUGAGUUACUCUGUGACUUUCUUCUUUGUGUGUGUAAAAUUUUUUAGGUGAAGACAAUCCUGUAUUGGACUAAUGUAAUUAAGAAUAAAAUUAUGAUACGGAUGAUGCCCUCUACCCAGGAUACCUCCUUGUUUUGGAUGUUUCAAAAGCUGCAGACUAUGGAACCUGGAUGGAUUUGCAUGGACAGAGAGGCUGCACCCUCCAGAGAAGGAUCACCCUGGCCAAUGAGGAAGGAGCCUCACCUGCAGAUGACCGAUGACUGCCUUCCCCAAUGCUGAUUGUUGUGGAAGUACACUGUCGGCACAUGCAUCCAGACUCGAGUCACCCAAGUCCUCUCCUGAUGUGUCAAGUCUGAGCCACAUAUUGCAACUCAAGAUGGAGUCUGAGUCCUGGAAUUGAGUCAUAUGAAACUGUGGGCAUCAACUAGCAGACUGGAGAAGUAAAUAUCAGCCCUAAAGGUUCAGAUUCUAUGCAGAUUUGCUCUGAGCAAUUAACCAGGAUUACUGUUGGCAGCAUUUUAAUUACAAAUUUAUCAGUGAAAAUUCAGAGUCCGGAGGCCAGAUAUUCUACCAUUUUUUGCAUUAAGUAGAUAGAUCAAAGAGCUCUUUGUUUGACAUUACACUAAGUUCAGCACCCUGAUGAAAAUUUUCAUUAUGUGGGUAAAAAUGGCGGAGGAGUCUUUCUGAUUUACAUUGUGCUGUAUCCUUUCAAAGGUGUUACCUUAAAAGAGGCUCUAGAGACUUGCAACUCAUUUUGUUGAGCAACAUUUUGAAACUGGUUUUGGGUUUAUAAAGGCUAAUUCAUAUUUCAGGCGAACAUCAAAGGGAAACAAAUUUAACAUCACUAAAAUUUGCCAAGAAAUUCUCUUGAGUUGAAAUGUGUGCAGCACAAAUAAUCUCAAAUUAUAAUUUCAAAGUUUGCGUUCGUGUUUGCCUGAAGUAAGAAUCAGGCUUGAUGCUAGUAAAUUAUGUAAAUACUAAAGAGGCCUUUUUCUGUUUGAAGCCUGUAGGUUUAUGUGCAGAUAAUGAUAAAAUAAAUAAGAUUCAACUUUUUCUUUCUGGCAACAAAAAAAGGGAAGGUUUUUGUAAUUUUCACAGGACCGACAACUUCUGAAGAAAUAGUUUAUUUUUUUACAAAUUGCCUAUCAAUUUCAAUCAAUUCUUUUAAAAGCUAUGAUUGAACUUCCUAAUAAACAACAAAUAUAUCGUCGUAUUAGUACUAUAAGGUCAUUAACAAAAUAUUUGCACUGAAAGGUCAUUAAUGAAAUUGUUUUAAAACUUGAAAUACUAGCAAAGUCCUGGUGAAGAUCUGAGAAACAGUCCCCCAAAAUGAUUUUUAUCAAUGAAGUAAUGUGAAACAUUGUCUGUUUCUUUAUAAAAUUAUUUCAUGCUUAGAAUAGGGCCCUAAAAUUAUUUUAAAAUUAUCAGUGCUAUAAGGUUGUUACUGCCAUAAUGGCCUUAUAGCACUGACCCGACGAUAUUUGACUUUUACACACUUUAUGAAGCACGUGUAUCAAAGUUUGAACUAGCUGGUGAAAAAGGUUUGAGUAAAUAAAGACUUAAGUGGCUACCAUUUAUAGAGGGGCUGGAAUCACUUUUCAGUUACAUGCACAUUCAGAGGUGAAGAUUGGUUUUAUUUAAACAAAUCAAGUUAAUAGUCAUGAAUGAAAUUCAAACUAGUUAGAACUUUGUCAAUUUAAAAGGAAGGCUGGAGAGUUCAGCCCCAUUGUGUUUCUUUACACAUAAUAGGAUUCCUUUUGAUUCAGAGAGCACAUCACAAAGUGUGCAGACACUCGAAAUAAUACGCUGUGUUUAUCCUUCUUUUACAUUUGUUUGCAUGCAUUUCUAUAUUUGUUUAAAGUUUUAAUUUUUGGUUGCUUUGAGUUUUAUGAUUGCUGUUGUUUUUAACCUUGUUUUCAAGCAAAAGGAUAAACACAGUUAUUUAGAGUGUUUUUUGAUACCAAAUUUUUUCAGAAAAAAAUGUUUGUAAAGCUUUGAGUGUUGUAUGACAAUUUUUCUAAACAUUCUGUUUUCUAGUGGGGCUAGCUGCUCACCACUGCCUUUCCUUUGACCCCAAUUCAAUUUGUGCCCGGGUCUUCAAUUUCACAAAAAAAAUAUCAUUUCUGGGGUUGUGUCCUCUCCAGGAUGCAGGGCUACCUUUAUAAUCUUUAACAUUUUUCUUAGCAGUAUUAUUCCUCAAGUAACAUCUAAUUUUAAAGAAUGUCAAAUUUCUGUACAUUUCCUAAAAAUCAUAGUAUAACCAGUUUGUCUAAGUACCCUGAAUAUUGGAAUUUUAUUUAUUUGUUCAUAAUCAAAUUUUUCACAAUAAUAGUUUGUAAAAAAUCAGUUACACGUCAUUCUAAGAAUUAA
Molecule: long non-coding RNA, 5603 nt
Organism: Acanthaster planci (crown-of-thorns starfish)
Lineage: Eukaryota; Metazoa; Echinodermata; Asteroidea; Valvatida; Acanthasteridae
Source: RefSeq, a predicted model, not a curated record